UUGACUCUCAAAUGAGAAUCGUUAUGAUUAUCACAACUGGUCGCGAGAUCAGCCGAUAACUGAAAGACCAUUGGUUCGGACUCUCAGAUUAUCUCCUCAUCAGGCUAAUCACGGUUAUUUGACCCGGCUUUUGCCGGGUCUUUUUUUA
This 148-nucleotide small RNA is filed under the name Pseudomonas cedrina. Its description in RNAcentral is "PrrF RNA". It matches the Rfam family "PrrF RNA". From Rfam's summary of the family: PrrF RNA is a small RNA involved in iron homeostasis and is found exclusively in Pseudomonas species. Their expression is induced under iron limitation by the ferric uptake regulator (Fur) and they act to negatively regulate several genes including sodB and sdh. Lineage: Bacteria; Pseudomonadati; Pseudomonadota; Gammaproteobacteria; Pseudomonadales; Pseudomonadaceae. The record is from RNAcentral.